CAGAGCGUGGCUCACACCCCUGGGGCGUGCAACACACUGUCAGCGUACAGACACACCUCACACCCGUAACUAACACACAGAGCGUGGAUCACACCCCUGGGGCGUGCAACACACUGUCAGAAUACAGACACACCCCACACCCGUACCUGACACACAGAGCAUGGAUCACACCCCCGGGGCGUGCAACACACUGUCAGCGUACGGACACACCUCACACCCGUACCUAACACACAGAGCGUGGAUCACACCCCCGGGGCGUGUAACACACUGAGUGUACAGACACACCUCACACCCGUAACUAACAUACAGAGCGUGGAUCACACCCCCGGGGCGUGUAACACACUGUCAGUACACACCUCACACCCGUACCUAACACAAAGAGCGGGGAUCACACCCCCGGGGCGUGUAACACAUUGUCUAUGCACAUG
Gopherus flavomarginatus (Mexican gopher tortoise) is the source of this 428-nucleotide long non-coding RNA. RefSeq lists it as uncharacterized. The transcript is spliced from 3 exons. The record is from RefSeq and is a predicted model, not a curated record. Lineage: Eukaryota; Metazoa; Chordata; Testudines; Testudinidae.